This 464-nucleotide ribosomal RNA is filed under the name uncultured bacterium. RNAcentral's name for it is "partial 16S ribosomal RNA". It matches the Rfam family "Bacterial small subunit ribosomal RNA", at positions 28 to 507 of the family's 1533-position model. The record is from RNAcentral.
GACGAACGCUGGCGGCGUGCUUAACACAUGCAAGUCGAACGGAAAGGCCCCUUUGGGGGUACUCGAGUGGCGAACGGGUGAGUAACACGUGAGUAACCUGCCCUUGACUUCGGGAUAACUUCAGGAAACUGGGGCUAAUACCGGAUAGGAAUCCUUGCUGCAUGGUGGGGGUUGGAAAGCUUCGGCGGUUUUGGAUGGACUCGCGGCUUAUCAGCUUGUUGGUGGGGUAGUGGCUUACCAAGGCUUUGACGGGUAGCCGGCCUGAGAGGGCGACCGGCCACAUUGGGACUGAGAUACGGCCCAGACUCCUACGGGAGGCAGCAGUGGGGAAUAUUGCACAAUGGGCGGAAGCUGAUGCAGCAACGCCGCGGGCGGGAUGACGGCCUUCGGGUUGUAAACCGCUUUCAGCAGGGGCGAAGCUUGUGGUGACGGUACCUGCAGAAGAAGCACCGGCUAACUACGUG